This is a long non-coding RNA of Xiphophorus hellerii (green swordtail), 1571 nucleotides long. RefSeq lists it as uncharacterized. Lineage: Eukaryota; Metazoa; Chordata; Actinopteri; Cyprinodontiformes; Poeciliidae. The record is from RefSeq and is a predicted model, not a curated record. The transcript is spliced from 7 exons.
ACGCACUGAGGUUCCUGAUUGACGCAGGCCUAGUUGCUAAUUUUAGCCGCUGCCUGUCCGACGGAGGCAGGGUGAGACUGCAGAGAGCCCAUUCAUUGUACCGGGGCGGGACCGACUAUUUUAACGCCGCGAUUGUGAUCCUGCCAAGCCAAAUAUAGUCGUAGACAGGUAUUUUUAGGCACAGAGUGUGUCCCCGUUCUCUCAUCUGGCAAAGCGCGGCGUGUAUUGUAGCGUCUGAAAUGAGCCGCGGCUCUGAAAGUGUAAAGCUGUUUUUCGGCUGGAUAGUUUUACAGUCAGCUGAUAGCAGCCAUACCCCAGAGAGAGGGAGAGGGAGAGAGGGACUGACAGGGGUAAAUCCCAGUAACCCCACAGGUUUCCCGUCACUCCGGGGGAAAGGGUGGAAAAGAGCGUAGAUCCGAAGAUAAAUAGCCGGCAAGUCUUCACACAGACACAGUCAACAGACGCUUGAAAAUAACCACAUUACAGAGCACCAGCUGCACUUCAGCUUUCUGAGCCUCGUCUGAAGGGGGGGAAAAAGAAGAUAAAUAAGUUUACCAUUAGGUAAUUGUCUGCAGCACUCGUCUGGAGCGAGGAACAAACCUGACCACUUAGGUAUCCCAGGAAUCCACUGCAUCAUCACAUUCUGCUCCGAUAACGCUGGAACUGCCCGAUUCCUAUCGCUGUGGAUGUUGCAGCUGUCUUCUUCUCUAAGAUCCCAACAAACCCACACCUCACCCUGAAGCUGCCUGAAGAUUAUGGAUUGAGGAAGGGGACCAUUAUCCAUUCAUUCUGACAUGCCUGGGCUCAAAUGUCUGCAAGCCCUGAAGUGGUUAUCCUGAUUACUGCCGGAGCAUUAAGAGGGAACUCCCUACUGGGAGACGCAGCAGGUUUCUGCUUUUGGGCGUCCCUCACUUGGUCAUCAAACGCGGAUCAAUUUCAGCCGCAUGUCCAUCCAUUUCAUGCUUUACCAACCAGGACUGAGAUCAGGGAGUUUUUAAUGAUGGACGGAGAAACAUUGAUUCUCAAGAAACUACUUAUAGUUCUUUGUUUUACCCUCCGGUGACAGCCUGCUCAGAAAACUGGAGAAAUUUGCCCACAAGUGCCUUCUUUCGUUCCUUCCUACAACUACCCAUCCAUUCGUCCAACCUGUCUACAAAGGCCUGUCAUAACAAAUGAAGGUCCAUCACAAUCGAUGGUAAUUCAGGCAAAACAUUAUAACCACAGUUUGUAGAAGUGCAGCUCAAACCCUAAGUAAAGAUUGACAUUUCUUCAUUUUUGUGACUGUCACAUGUUGAAUUAAUCUCUUACAGAAGAACAGCUCAUAGAAAACUGUUCAAACCAUCAUGUGAACACGGUAAGAAAAUGCCCUCCAUUCAAACUGGCCAAGAAUCCACAGCUCAGGUGGGAGAAUCUGUUGAUUAAAAUCAUAAAUUUCCUCCUGCAUAUCACUUUGAUCCACACUGUGAGACAUGGUAGUGGCAGCAUCAUGCAGCUGUGUUAACCUCUGUCUGUCUUCAGUGGGGCUGAAAACAACCACACGCUUCACUUUUCAUAUUUUUACAGCAAGAAAA